UGGAGAAGGGGAGCACGUGCA
This 21-nucleotide microRNA is filed under the name Carica papaya (papaya). RNAcentral's name for it is "cpa-miR164e". Its record names the gene cpa-miR164d. Lineage: Eukaryota; Viridiplantae; Streptophyta; Magnoliopsida; Brassicales; Caricaceae. RNAcentral also lists the same sequence under 4 other names. The record is from miRBase by way of RNAcentral.